GAAGUGCUGAAAAUGCCAGCAGAGGAAAUGAAGAACAAAAUGAACUCUCUUGCUUCUUCUUUUAAGUGAGAAAAGAGUUCAGAAUGUGCAACUGCAAGAAUGGGUGCAGUGGAAGUGUAUAAUUUCAUGUGGUUUGCAUUCAAACUGCUGUCAACCCUCCUCGAUAAUUUCCAUGUGAGGAAAAGCUGAUGUUUAAAGCAACUUGUCCCCGAGGGAAAGCAAACACCUAUAGCAAAGAAGACUGUUCCUAGAAACUCUUGGUGAGCAGCUAAUUGAUCAGGAAAUGAAGAUGUGAGGAUAUCUUCCAAGAGGAAAUGCUGUGAGAGAAGCUGUAGAGAGAACAACAUUGUGUGAAUCUGCACCCUCCGUGCAGGAAGAAACUGAUUCUAGGAGCAAGAAGAGAUGCUGUUGUCACCUUUGUGGAAAAAAAUUAUGAUAAAAGUUCAGUGAAGUGUGCUAACUGUAAAAAAAUUCACUUGUAGGAAAUGUCUUACAUAAACAUGUAAAAACUUUGUAAAAGUUAGGUAUAGAGUAGUAAAAUCAACACACACAUCAUUUUAAUAUUUCAUUAUUGUAUUGUUGUACUAUUAUAUUAUGCAGUUCAUACAUUAAUCUAUCUAAAUUA
This is a long non-coding RNA of Schistocerca americana (American grasshopper), 625 nucleotides long. RefSeq lists it as uncharacterized. Lineage: Eukaryota; Metazoa; Arthropoda; Insecta; Orthoptera; Acrididae. The record is from RefSeq and is a predicted model, not a curated record. The transcript is spliced from 2 exons.